RNAcentral lists this transfer RNA (83 nucleotides) under Isachenkonia alkalipeptolytica. RNAcentral describes it as "tRNA-Leu". It matches the Rfam family "tRNA". Rfam says of the family: Transfer RNA (tRNA) molecules are approximately 80 nucleotides in length. Their secondary structure includes four short double-helical elements and three loops (D, anti-codon, and T loops). Lineage: Bacteria; Bacillati; Bacillota; Clostridia; Eubacteriales; Clostridiaceae. The record is from RNAcentral.
GCGGGUGUGGCGGAACUGGCAGACGCACUAGACUUAGGAUCUAGCGCUCCGGCGUGGGGGUUCGAAUCCCUUCACCCGCACCA